AUGACGAGUCCCAAAUAGGACGAAAUGCACAUCCUGAAU
Molecule: non-coding RNA, 39 nt
Filed under: Trichobilharzia regenti
Lineage: Eukaryota; Metazoa; Platyhelminthes; Trematoda; Strigeidida; Schistosomatidae
Source: RNAcentral